This 649-nucleotide unclassified non-coding RNA is filed under the name uncultured Prochlorococcus sp. RNAcentral's name for it is "partial 16S-23S ribosomal RNA intergenic spacer; may also contain 16S ribosomal RNA and 23S ribosomal RNA". The stretch from base 1 to 93 matches the Rfam family "Bacterial small subunit ribosomal RNA", at positions 1441 to 1533 of the family's 1533-position model. The record is from RNAcentral. Lineage: Bacteria; Bacillati; Cyanobacteriota; Cyanophyceae; Synechococcales; Prochlorococcaceae.
UUGUGGAGGAGGACGCCGAAGGUGGGGCUAAUGACUGGGGUGAAGUCGUAACAAGGUAGCCGUACCGGAAGGUGCGGCUGGAUCACCUCCUAACAGGGAGACAACAAAAUGUUAAAUAUUAAUUUUGUCACCUUAGGUCGAUCGGUAUCUCACAUCCUUAAAUUUAUUAAGGAUUUUAUUUCCUAAGUUUUUUCUAGGUCACACCCAUUACUUUUCCUGGGCCAUUAGCUCAGGUGGUUAGAGCGCACCCCUGAUAAGGGUGAGGUCCCUGGUUCAAGUCCAGGAUGGCCCAUAUCUCUAUGUUGGGGGUAUAGCUCAGUUGGUAGAGCGCCUGCUUUGCAAGCAGGAUGUCAGCGGUUCGGGUCCGCCUACCUCCACUGAUCACCACCUCUUCCAUAAAUUUCAUAGAAGGGAAAUGUUUUGAGUUGUGAUCAAAUUCUGAACGAAUCUAGCUUCCUAAUAAAACUUAUUAAGAUGCUGGACUCAUUGAAUUAAUUUCAUUGUUUUCAGAGAACCUUGACAACUGCAUAGAUUAUUUUUAAAGACAAUAAGCAUCUUUAGUGAUGCAGAUUUUUUAUUUAUGCGAAUGCAUUAAUAACAAUUCUAUUAAGCUGAUGCUUCAAUUUUGAAGUUAUUGGUCAAGCUACAA